UGGGGAAUAUUGGACAAUGGGCGCAAGCCUGAUCCAGCAAUGCCGCGUGUGUGAAGAAGGCCUGCGGGUUGUAAAGCACUUUCAGUGGGGAGGAAGGCCUCGAUGUUAAUAGUAUCGAGGAUUGACGUUACCUACAGAAGAAGCACCGGCUAACUCUGUGCCAGCAGCCGCGGUAAUACAGAGGGUGCGAGCGUUAAUCGGAAUUACUGGGCGUAAAGGGCGCGUAGGUGGUUACUUAAGUCAGAUGUGAAAUCCCUGGGCUUAACCUAGGAAUUGCAUUUGAAACUGAGUAGCUAGAGUGUGGUAGAGGGAAGUGGAAUUUCCGGUGUAGCGGUGAAAUGCGUAGAUAUCGGAAGGAACACCAGUGGCGAAGGCGACUUCCUGGACCACUACUGACACUGAGGCGCGAAAGCGUGGGGAGCGAACAGGAUUAGAUACCCAAGUAGUCCCUGAGCGGGCUGGCAAGGCGCAU
Molecule: ribosomal RNA, 472 nt
Filed under: uncultured bacterium
Lineage: Bacteria
Description: bacterial SSU rRNA
Rfam family: Bacterial small subunit ribosomal RNA
Source: RNAcentral